Suricata suricatta (meerkat) is the source of this 542-nucleotide long non-coding RNA. RefSeq lists it as uncharacterized. The record is from RefSeq and is a predicted model, not a curated record. Lineage: Eukaryota; Metazoa; Chordata; Mammalia; Carnivora; Herpestidae. The transcript has 2 exons.
CCAGCUGGUACCUCCGUCCUCGCUUCCGCUUCCGCUGUCGCAGAGCCACACGGGACGCGUAGUCCGUGGAAAGCAGAAACGGCGAAAACGUCCACAGCGUGACCAGGAAGUGAUUGUGACGAAAGGAAGCAGCCGAGCCAAUCAGCGAUCAGAUAGAAAGCAGGCCGGUGAGGAGGGCAGGAGAAGCCUGGGCCUUGCUUUCAGUCUUAAACUGGCGUUAGUUAAUCCUAACCCCCCACCUGGAGUAACGAGGAAACUAUUCCGGACACCAGGAAGGGGGAAGGAUGAGCCAUGCCGCUUGGCCAGCCUGCCAGCAGUUCAUGGAGCCUCGGUACCUGGGCCCCCUCUGCCCCACACAUUCCUGGGACACGCACAUCUCUGGUCUUAGCUCUGGUCAAAAGAAAAACCUUGGCUAUGAAGACCAGACACCCUCUCUCCUGCACCCUGGCACUCACCUCUUCCACGAUGGAUGACAAUAACCGAAGCUCCCCAUUUUCAUCACGCUGACUGAUCUUUGAUUGAAUAAAGUCUAUAACUUCCUG